This 280-nucleotide ribosomal RNA is filed under the name uncultured eukaryote. RNAcentral's name for it is "partial 18S ribosomal RNA". The record is from RNAcentral.
AAGCUCGUAGUUGAAUUUCGGCGUGCGCUCAGGCUGGGUCGGCCGUCGAAGGUCUGUACCGGUUUGGGUCACGCCCCACUGUAGGAUACUCACCGCUGUCCUUAACUGGGUGGCGGUCAAAGGGGGUGUGUAUGGGGGGCAACUCUGUGCAUAUCUCUGGGGUUCCUACUCUUUUACUUUGAGCAAAUUAGAGUGUUCAAAGCAGGCAAUCGAGCCUUGAAUACUUCGAGCAGUGGGAUAAGUGGAACAGGACGUGGGGUCCUGUAUUUCGUUGGUUUCG